CACCUCCUUUCUAAGGAAUAAUUACGGAACCUGUACAUUUAUCGAAUACUUUGUUUAGUUUCCAGAGAUUUACUCUCUGUUAAAGAAUGGCUUAUGGGCCUAUAGCUCAGCUGGUUUAGAGCGCACGCCUGAUAAGCGUGAGGUCGAUGGUUCGAGUCCAUUUAGGCCCAUUCUUUUAUGAAAAUUUCAUAAUUUUCUUAUGGGGCCUUAGCUCAGCUGGGAGAGCGCCUGCUUUGCACGCAGGAGGUCAGCGGUUCGAUCCCGCUAGGCUCCAUUGAUAACGAAAGUUAUCAAAUGAUUUUGUUCUUUGAAAACUAGAUAUUGAUUUAUUUCUUAAAAAUAAACCGAGAACACCGCGUUUUAAAGAGUUUAAAACAAGAAUUAUAGUUCUUAAUCGCUAAACUCAUAACCUAUUAUCGUUAGAUAAUAUUAGGUUAAGUUAUUAAGGGCGUGCG
Molecule: transfer RNA, 455 nt
Filed under: Ligilactobacillus salivarius
Lineage: Bacteria; Bacillati; Bacillota; Bacilli; Lactobacillales; Lactobacillaceae
Description: partial 16S-23S ribosomal RNA intergenic spacer
Rfam family: tRNA (bases 96-170)
Source: RNAcentral